AGCAGCCGCGGUAAUUCCAGCUCCAAUAGCGUAUAUUAAAGUUGUUGCAGUUAAAAAGCUCGUAGUUGAAUUUCGGGGUUAGUAGGUUGGUCGUGCCUUUGGUAUGUACUGGUCUCACUGAUUCCUCCUUCUUGAAGAACUGUAAUGUCAUUAAUUUGGUGUUGCAGGGAAACAGGACUGUUACUUUGAAAAAAAUUAGAGUGUUUAAAGCAGGCUAACGCCUGAAUACAUUAGCAUGGAAUAAUGAAAUAGGACGUUUGAUCCUAUUUUGUUGGUUUCUAGGAUUGACGUAAUGAUUAAUAGGGAUAGUUGGGGGCAUUAGUAUUCAAUUGUCAGAGGUGAAAUUUCUUGGAUUUUAUUGAAGACUGACUACUGCGAAAGCAUUUGCCAAGGAUGUUUUCAUUAAUCAAGAACGAAAGUUAGGGAUCGAAGACGAUCAGAUACCGUCGUAGUCUUAACCAUUAAACUAUGACCGACUAGGGAUCGGAUGAUGUUUAAUUUUUAUGACUCAUUCGGCGCC
RNAcentral lists this ribosomal RNA (520 nucleotides) under uncultured Glomus. RNAcentral's name for it is "SSU rRNA". It matches the Rfam family "Eukaryotic small subunit ribosomal RNA", at positions 569 to 1087 of the family's 1831-position model. Lineage: Eukaryota; Fungi; Glomeromycota; Glomeromycetes; Glomerales; Glomeraceae. The record is from RNAcentral.